Molecule: ribosomal RNA, 236 nt
Filed under: uncultured Actinomycetales bacterium
Lineage: Bacteria; Bacillati; Actinomycetota; Actinomycetes; Actinomycetales
Description: partial 16S ribosomal RNA
Rfam family: Bacterial small subunit ribosomal RNA
Source: RNAcentral
UGGCGAACGGGUGAGCAACACGUGGGUAAUCUGCCCUGCACUCUGGGAUAAGCCUGGGAAACUGGGUCUAAUACUGGAUAUGACCUUUCUCCUUAUGGGGUUUGGUGGAAAGUUUUUCGGUGUAGGAUGAGCCCGCGGCCUAUCAGCUUGCUGGUGGGGUGAUGGCCCACCAAGGCGACGACGGGUAGCCGGCCUGAGAGGGUGAUCGGCCACAUUGGGACUGAGAUACGGCCCAG